UUAGUUUAUUCCAUCUGAAACAAUAUACUAACUACAUGCAAAGAGUUAAAUGCUGUAUAUUUACUUUACAUUCAAUAUAGAGAUGGAUGAGAUGGAUGGAUGGAUGGAUGGAUGGAUGGGGGAAAUGGAUAAAAUAGAUGGAUGAAACAGAUAAGAUGGAUUGAUGUCUACAUAGCAGCAGCAAUGACUAUAUCAAUAUAUACUCUUUACUCUUUUUAAUUUAGCUUCGUCAUCGUCUUCCAAAAAACAUACCAUGGGCUUCCUGUGGUAGUGAAGCACGCGUACCCAUCAUGCUUCAGGGUCUCUUUGACAAGAAGAAAGAGUGAAGCUUCGAGGUGUGGACACAAACUUCGACCAUUACACGUUGGAUUAUCAAGGAUAAGAAGACUAGCUGAAUCUAUAAGUGUUAGUUUUAGAUGUUAUUUAGUAAGAUUACACCAGCAAAAACAAUUUCCUUUGAAUUAAUUGAGCACCGGUGUAAUUCUACUAAAUACUUAUUCACCACAGAUUGAGUGGAUUCUGGUUGGUAUUUGCCUCAAAUAUUGGCUGAUCUUCACUUUGUCUUUGGUGUAUAAUCUUUAAUUAUUUAAUAUAUCUACAUAUAAUGCUUUGUUGUAUGUAGAUUUGUUUUCACCACUUUAAGAACUCAAGGUAUCAAAGGUUGUGCUAGCUUUUUGUUACAAAUGAAAAGUGACCACAUCUUUUGAAUUUUCUUACAAUUUACUAAAUGCUGGUAACUUAUGCACAUAUAAUGUCUCCUUUGGACCUGAUGACUGGCUGGCUUGGAUCAACUCUACAUAUCAUAUAUAUUUGCGUGAUUAUGAUUUUGAUUGCCUUUUGACUAAUAUUUAUUGAUCUUUAUUUGUCUCACAUUGAAUGAUUGAUUUUACAUUUGAUUGAUUACUGAUGUACAUGAAAAAGUUUCUUUCAAAAUUUUGCAUAUUCUAUUCAAACCACAGUACUUCUAAAAAAAUUUUUCCAGAGACAAGCAUUAAUUUAAGAUAUGUUUUAAAUUAUUUUGAAUUUGAGUUAGAAUAUUUUCAUUACUCCAAGUCCUUUGCUUUAAUUUUUUCCACCCUUCUUUUUGCUUUUGAAUCGGAUUUGGCAAAUUCCAAGAAUCCAAAAUUUGUAAAAAAGCUUUUUCGUAAACAAUUUCUUUGUUUGACAUGUUUACAGUUUGUACAGUAUUCUCUUGCUGUACUAAAAAAAUCUGAGAUUCUAAGUCUUUUUUAAAAAAUUGAAGGAAAAAAUAAUCUCUUUUUAGCUUUUCAUUUGGUUCAUUGAUUUUAGUUGUUCUGCAAAAAUAGUAAGCGAGAGGAUACUGUAUAAAUCAUGAUGAUUGUUAUUCUCAUUGAUGCAUUUGUUGAUACAGUAGAACCACACUAUCUUGUCCUGGUUAUCGUUACUCACAGAUCAAGAGAAUCAAGAAAAGUUUUUUGUACCUUUACAUACUCUUAUCAAUUGUAUUUCCCUAUUUUCAUGUCGCAACUGUUUUCUCAAUCAGCGUGUAGCAACUAAGACAGUAAUAACCAAAUUCAUGAUCAAUCGGCUGCAUUUGACAUUUUUAAAUGUUAUUGUUGGCUUUAAAUUUCUCCUUUGAGCAUAUUUGAUGAGAUAGUGUAGUUCUACUUUCUUUGAUUACCGUAUAUGAUGCUUUAAUAAAAAUUUGCCUGCUAUAUUCUGCACUCCUGGCUCACUCNCUUCAACACGGUAAGUCAAGUGCAUAAUUUACCAGCAUUAAGUCUUGUAUUUUUCCACCAAUGUCCUCUUUUAUCAUCCAAUUACUUUUCUGAAUCUCUUACAUUGCUAUUUAAAAAUAUGGUAGACCAUGUAUUUUGGUGUUACAUUCACUUUAAGUUANCCAGAGGAUGUUGGUUGGAAGGUGCAAUUUUCUAAAUUACUUUUCUUCGACAAGUUGUUAGUUACCUUACAAACACUAAAACUUGCAGAGCAACAGAUGAGUCAAUUGAAUUAAUUCACUCAAAUAAGUUCAACAAGUAUCAUAUAUGAAAGAUUUAGGCUUUCAUAUCUUCACCAAUUUUCGUUUUUUAUUUUUUUAAACUUAGUACAAUUGAACCUAUUUUGUACUAAUGUAGUCAACUUGUUGGCCCAUUACCUGUUGCAACUGCUUGUAGUGUUUGUACUCAUCAGUAGAAAUGGUUCCAUUUAUUCUUAAAGUGGUGAAAAUAUAUAAACUUAGGACUAUGAGUGGACACACCAAUGGUCAGAUAGAAAUACUGUACAAAAUUCCAAUUGGAUAUUGACUGAUGUUUUAUGGCUAUGCCAUAUUUUUGUUUAGCUUUUACGCUGUUUAGCUAGGAUCUAAGAUUUAAAAAAAAUCUUAGUGCCCAUUUUUAAAGGGAUCAUAAAUUAUCUCGCAGUUCCAAUUUCAUCUUUUUUAUCAGCAAGAACUUGUNUUUAAUCUGAUGUUUCCUUCAAAAUUCAGUAUAUAUUUUCGGUUCCAUCUACUUAAUCAUCAAUGUGGAAAGUCUCAAAACUAUAAGUGAUUUGAUUUUACUGCACGGAAAAGUUACUCAGUACCAAACAACCUAAUCGGGGAAAAAAAUAAAAUCAAACAAAAAAUUUAUUUGGCAUUGGUAUUUCACAGGGCUUGGUGUGUUCAUCUCAUAGUCUGACAAAGGUGUUGCUUGAGUUAAAAGUACAACAAGAAAUUACAAAUGGUAUACUAAAACUAAGUCGGUUUCUGUCUGACUCUGAAAAGAGAUUUAUUUGUUAAAAAGAUUUCAAAUUGAAAAUGUUAUUUUACAAAUCAAAUGGUAUGUUGCCAUGUUUCAGGCACUGGAAUGGAUUUGUUAACUGAAAUGAUUGAAAAAAUGGGUUUAUCUGAUGUUGGCGUUAAGGUGGCUUGAUAUGUUUUUCUUGCCACUACCUUUGAACUUCAAAUUGCAAAUACCCAGUUGGAAACAAUUAAAUGAAUAAAUUCAAUUUACAUACCCGGUUGCAAACAAUCCAUGAUUGGUCAGCAAAAAAAUACCAUUUGUUACUCUUGCUGUAAUGCAGAAUAGAUUGUGUAGGAUUGAGUAAACCAUGGUACAGACUUGAGGUGCCAGAAUAAAUCAACUCUGAUUUUAUCCUAAAACAAUACUGUAUCACACUGCACUGUACCUUGUCAUACACCAUGGUUGGCUGCAAUCCUGUCUAAGUCUAUUCUGUUACUAGUACUGGUAAGGCUCAGUGUAGACCUGGAACUUUUCAUUGAUCGAAUAAUUAAAUGUUNGGAGGUAUCUAAAAUCAGUCAUUCAAAAUUGGGCCUUUUAGAGUUUCAUAAAGCUCCAUGCAAGCUACCCUCUAAUCAGUUUAAGGCGGCUUUCAAUCUGAUUAGAUAAAGUAGAUGAAAAAUUCCAAGUCUAACUGGGACCAAUUAAUACUGUAUACGAGGCAUAGAACCAGUUUUAUGCUUCGUUUUAGUUUCCAGUACCAGUCUUUUAAUCAAGCAACACCUUUGUCUUCAGAAUCCUAAUCAAAAGCUCUGUCCCUGAGGUCAUCAGUUCAUCCUAUUCCAAACCCUUAAGGGUGGCCCUUAACGCUUUGUUGAGGGCCAUUUUUUCUUAAGGGGAGGGUAGGUUUGAACUUUUGAUCUCAGGGAUCUUCGUCUAAUUACCCUAGGGGCAAAAAAAAUCACAAAAAGACUUAGUAUAUAUUUUUUCAAAAUUUAUAGGGAUUUUUUACUUUUUUUCACAAUUUUUUAUUUUUUUUUCGUUUUUUUUCUUGCCAAUUUGAAUUUUUUUUAAUUUUCUUAAGCCAAUUUGAAUUUUUUUUCUUUAAAGCCAAUUUUUUUUUUUUUUUUGAGCCAACCUUCUUACCUUGUUGAUGAAUACCAGACUUGCCUUGUUCCUUGCUUGUGGGUGGCUGUCUUUUUGCUUGUCCAAUUUUUCAUCUGAAAACCUAGACCUUACCUGGAUUUGAACCCUUACCUUCAACUUGCCUCUUGUCCAUUAGCCUGUGCACUUGUGUUGUAUACUGUCAGUUUAUUUGUUGAAAGUGAUGGUAUUGAUGUACCUUAAAUCAUAGGGCUUUGUAAUGGCUUGCAUUAAUUACCGAUUAAAAAUUCUUAUGCAUAA
Molecule: long non-coding RNA, 4082 nt
Filed under: Actinia tenebrosa (Australian red waratah sea anemone)
Lineage: Eukaryota; Metazoa; Cnidaria; Anthozoa; Actiniaria; Actiniidae
Description: uncharacterized LOC116301622
Source: RNAcentral